RNAcentral lists this ribosomal RNA (222 nucleotides) under uncultured bacterium. RNAcentral's name for it is "partial 16S ribosomal RNA". It matches the Rfam family "Bacterial small subunit ribosomal RNA", at positions 109 to 334 of the family's 1533-position model. The record is from RNAcentral.
AGUAAUGCUUGGGAAUCUGGCUUAUGGAGGGGGAUAACUACGGGAAACUGUAGCUAAUACCGCGUAGUAUCGAGAGAUUAAAGUGUGGGACCUUCGGGCCACAUGCCAUAGGAUGAGCCCAAGUGGGAUUAGGUAGUUGGUGAGGUAAAGGCUCACCAAGCCGACGAUCUCUAGCUGGUCUGAGAGGAUGACCAGCCACACCGGGACUGAGACACGGCCCAG